Molecule: unclassified non-coding RNA, 353 nt
Filed under: soil metagenome
Description: partial contains 5.8S ribosomal RNA, internal transcribed spacer 2, and large subunit ribosomal RNA
Rfam family: 5.8S ribosomal RNA (bases 1-120)
Source: RNAcentral
GAUGAAGAACGCAGCGAAAUGCGAUAACUAAUGUGAAUUGCAGAAUUCAGUGAAUCAUCGAAUCUUUGAACGCACAUUGCGCCCGCCAGUAUUCUGGCGGGCAUGCCUGUUCGAGCGUCAUUACAACCCUCAGGCCCCCGGGCCUGGCGUUGGGGAUCGGCGGAAGCCCCCUGCGGGCACAACGCCGUCCCCCAAAUACAGUGGCGGUCCCGCCGCAGCUUCCAUUGCGUAGUAGCUAACACCUCGCAACUGGAGAGCGGCGCGGCCACGCCGUAAAACACCCAACUUCUGAAUGUUGACCUCGAAUCAGGUAGGAAUACCCGCUGAACUUAAGCAUAUCAAUAAGCGGAGGA